This 2609-nucleotide ribosomal RNA is filed under the name Vibrio parahaemolyticus. RNAcentral's name for it is "partial 23S ribosomal RNA". It matches the Rfam family "Bacterial large subunit ribosomal RNA", at positions 328 to 2925 of the family's 2925-position model. Lineage: Bacteria; Pseudomonadati; Pseudomonadota; Gammaproteobacteria; Vibrionales; Vibrionaceae. The record is from RNAcentral.
GUUAGACGAACGGUCUGGAAAGUCCGACGAUACAGGGUGAUAGUCCCGUAGUUGACGACGUGUGUUCAGUGAAAUCGAGUAGGGCGGGACACGUGAUAUCCUGUCUGAAUAUGGGGGGACCAUCCUCCAAGGCUAAAUACUACUGACUGACCGAUAGUGAACCAGUACCGUGAGGGAAAGGCGAAAAGAACCCCUGUGAGGGGAGUGAAAUAGAACCUGAAACCGUGUACGUACAAGCAGUAGGAGCAGGCUUUGUCCUGUGACUGCGUACCUUUUGUAUAAUGGGUCAGCGACUUAUAUUCAGUGGCAAGGUUAACCAUCUAGGGGAGCCGUAGGGAAACCGAGUCUUAACUGGGCGUUCAGUCUCUGGAUAUAGACCCGAAACCAGGUGAUCUAGCCAUGGGCAGGUUGAAGGUUGAGUAACAUCAACUGGAGGACCGAACCGACUAAUGUUGAAAAAUUAGCGGAUGACUUGUGGCUAGGGGUGAAAGGCCAAUCAAACCUGGAGAUAGCUGGUUCUCCCCGAAAGCUAUUUAGGUAGCGCCUCGGACGAAUACUACUGGGGGUAGAGCACUGUUAAGGCUAGGGGGUCAUCCCGACUUACCAACCCUUUGCAAACUCCGAAUACCAGUAAGUACUAUCCGGGAGACACACGGCGGGUGCUAACGUCCGUCGUGGAGAGGGAAACAACCCAGACCGCCAGCUAAGGUCCCAAAUUACUACUAAGUGGGAAACGAUGUGGGAAGGCUCAGACAGCCAGGAUGUUGGCUUAGAAGCAGCCAUCAUUUAAAGAAAGCGUAAUAGCUCACUGGUCGAGUCGGCCUGCGCGGAAGAUGUAACGGGGCUAAGUAGUAAACCGAAGCUGCGGCAAUGUGCUUUUGCACAUUGGGUAGGGGAGCGUUCUGUAAGCGGUUGAAGGUGUGUGGUAACGCAUGCUGGACGUAUCAGAAGUGCGAAUGCUGACAUGAGUAACGAUAAAGGGGGUGAAAAACCUCCUCGCCGGAAGACCAAGGGUUCCUGUCCAACGUUAAUCGGGGCAGGGUAAGUCGACCCCUAAGGCGAGGCCGAAAGGCGUAGUCGAUGGGAAACGGGUUAAUAUUCCCGUACUUCUUACAAUUGCGAUGGGGGGACGGAGAAGGCUAGGUGGGCCUGGCGACGGUUGUCCAGGUUCAAGUGCGUAGGCUUAAGAGUUAGGUAAAUCCGGCUCUUUUUAAGGCUGAGACACGACGUCGAGCACCUACGGGUGUGAAGUCAUUGAUGCCAUGCUUCCAGGAAAAGCCUCUAAGCUUCAGAUUGUAAGGAAUCGUACCCCAAACCGACACAGGUGGUCGGGUAGAGAAUACCAAGGCGCUUGAGAGAACUCGGGUGAAGGAACUAGGCAAAAUGGUACCGUAACUUCGGGAGAAGGUACGCUCUUGAUGGUGAAGUCCCUCGCGGAUGGAGCUGACGAGAGUCGCAGAUACCAGGUGGCUGCAACUGUUUAUUAAAAACACAGCACUGUGCAAAAUCGUAAGAUGACGUAUACGGUGUGACGCCUGCCCGGUGCCGGAAGGUUAAUUGAUGGGGUUAGACUUCGGUCGAAGCUCUUGAUCGAAGCCCCGGUAAACGGCGGCCGUAACUAUAACGGUCCUAAGGUAGCGAAAUUCCUUGUCGGGUAAGUUCCGACCUGCACGAAUGGCGUAAUGAUGGCCACGCUGUCUCCACCCGAGACUCAGUGAAAUUGAAAUCGCUGUGAAGAUGCAGUGUACCCGCGGCUAGACGGAAAGACCCCGUGAACCUUUACUACAGCUUGGCACUGAACAUUGACCCUACAUGUGUAGGAUAGGUGGGAGGCUUUGAAGCACGUACGCCAGUAUGUGUGGAGCCGUCCUUGAAAUACCACCCUUGUAGUGUUGAUGUUCUAACGUCGACCCCUUAUCGGGGUUGCGGACAGUGCCUGGUGGGUAGUUUGACUGGGGCGGUCUCCUCCCAAAGAGUAACGGAGGAGCACGAAGGUGGGCUAAUCACGGUUGGACAUCGUGAGGUUAGUGCAAUGGCAUAAGCCCGCUUGACUGCGAGAAUGACAAUUCGAGCAGGUGCGAAAGCAGGUCAUAGUGAUCCGGUGGUUCUGAAUGGAAGGGCCAUCGCUCAACGGAUAAAAGGUACUCCGGGGAUAACAGGCUGAUACCGCCCAAGAGUUCAUAUCGACGGCGGUGUUUGGCACCUCGAUGUCGGCUCAUCACAUCCUGGGGCUGAAGUCGGUCCCAAGGGUAUGGCUGUUCGCCAUUUAAAGUGGUACGCGAGCUGGGUUUAGAACGUCGUGAGACAGUUCGGUCCCUAUCUGCCGUGGGCGUUGGAAGAUUGAAGGGGGCUGCUCCUAGUACGAGAGGACCGGAGUGGACGAACCUCUGGUGUUCGGGUUGUGUCGCCAGACGCAUUGCCCGGUAGCUAAGUUCGGAAUCGAUAACCGCUGAAAGCAUCUAAGCGGGAAGCGAGCCCUGAGAUGAGUCUUCCCUGAUACUUUAAGUAUCCUAAAGGGUUGUCGGAGACUACGACGUUGAUAGGUCAGGUGUGUAAGUGCUGUGAGGCAUUGAGCUAACUGAUACUAAUUGCCCGUGAGGCUUAACCAU